Molecule: ribosomal RNA, 253 nt
Filed under: uncultured bacterium
Lineage: Bacteria
Description: partial 16S ribosomal RNA
Rfam family: Bacterial small subunit ribosomal RNA
Source: RNAcentral
UACGAAUGGGGCAAGCGUUGUUCGGAAUCACUGGGCUUAAAGCGUGCGCAGGCGGUUUUGCAAGUCAGAAGUGAAAGCCCGGGGCUUAACCCCGGAAUUGCUUUUGAAACUGCAAAACUAGAAUAUGGGAGAGGUUAGCAGAAUUCCGAGUGUAGAGGUGAAAUUCGCAGAUAUUCGGAGGAAUACCAGUGGCGAAGGCGGCUAACUGGACGACUGUUGACGCUGAGGUGCGAAAGCGUGGGGAGCAAACAGG